RNAcentral lists this ribosomal RNA (253 nucleotides) under uncultured bacterium. Its description in RNAcentral is "partial 16S ribosomal RNA". It matches the Rfam family "Bacterial small subunit ribosomal RNA", at positions 524 to 776 of the family's 1533-position model. The record is from RNAcentral.
UACGUAGGGGGCAAGCGUUGUCCGGAUUUAUUGGGCGUAAAGAGCGUGUAGGCGGCCAGGUAGGUCCAUUGUGAAAACUCGAGGCUCAACCUCGAGACGCCGAUGGAAACCAUCUGGCUAGAGUCCGGAAGAGGAGAGUGGAAUUCCCGGUGUAGCGGUGAAAUGCGCAGAUAUCGGGAAGAACACCCGUGGCUAAGGCGGCUCUCUAGUACGGUACUGACGCUGAGACGCGAAAGCGUGGGGAGCGAACAGG